Long non-coding RNA from Ictalurus punctatus (channel catfish), 2158 nucleotides. NCBI's taxonomy places the organism in Eukaryota, Metazoa, Chordata, Actinopteri, Siluriformes, Ictaluridae. The record is from Ensembl.
AAACGGAUGUACAGCCGGGUUUUUUUUUCGAUGCAGAAAAAGGAACCGUUUUGCUUUUCAAGUUCUCGGUCCCGGGACACACGAUCUUUUCCUUUCACGUAGAAUAUGAAGCACUCUGAGUCAGGCCUAGGUCAAAAGGUCAACAACGUAAAACCCAGUUCCGAUGCAUUCCCGAGCACAAACACACCCCACACACACACUAGCAUGCAUACGAACCUGUUCAUAAAGUCGAGCACUUCGAAAGUUUUAACAUCGGAAAAGGUUCGACCGAAUUUCCAGAGUCUAUUCUUCACUACUUCCAGAAUCAAACACUUCGAAAGUUUGAACAUCGGCAAAGUUCAACAGAAUUUCCAGAGUCUAUCCUUCACUACUUCCAGACACCAUGGAUUUCUCGGCAGACAGCUUGGUGAUUAUUUCUGAUGAUGAGAUUCCCGAAACAACCACUCAUGACCUUUUGAAUCUGAGCUCCACACAAUUUGAGGGAAACGUGACUAACAGUGAUUACGACGGAGAUAUUUCAGAUACGAGUGAUGCAAUAGAAGACCAAGAGGAGAUCAUCUCGGAAACCGACAUUCAACAAGACAUCGAACUACAACGGAUCUGCGCAGUGUGGCGUGAAUUCUUCGAAGCAAAGACUGAUUUAUUGGAAAACUUUGGACAGAUUGAUUAUACACUUGAAUCUGGUCGAGGUACAGAUUUUAUCCCUUUACUGUAUAGCACGCUUGAAAAUGUGAAUAGAACCAGAUUUCGCUGCACUGUGUUUCGGUAUCAACCGGUGACGACACACCCGAUCACAAAGAGAUCAUAAUUAUUGUUGCAUGUUCUUUACCAUAUAGCUUUCCCAUGAAUACCAACUCAACCCACUAUCCCCCCCAUCAGGUUGUUGGUUGUUUUCCCUGAGUCAGGCCUUGGUCAAAAAGGUCUAUGAUAAUUAUUGACACACACACACACACACACAUAUACGAACCUGUCUAUAAAAGCGAACACUUCGUUAGUUGGAAAAAUCAGCAAAGAGUCGAAUAGUUCGAAGGGAUCGACAGAAUUUCCAGACUCUAUCCUUCAAAACUUCCAGACACCAUGGAUUUCUCAGCAGAGCAAGACCGAACUAAGCUCGUCUGAUUCUAGUGUAUAGGAUAACGUAUCAAACGAAUGCGAGUCUACAAGGUAAUACAAUUUUGUCUCUUAGAUCUGUGUAGCGAGCUAGAAGGGGAACUGUUAAGGUACUAGAAGUAUGUUUUAUUUGCUUUACUGUUUGUAGAUAACAGUGCCGUCAUAAUUUCUGACGAUGAAAUUUCCGAGACAUCUGAACGAAGCCUUUUGAAUCUGAGCUCUACACGUAAGUCAUAACAUAAAAUUUUACAUGGUUUACAUGAAUAAGCAGAAAUGUAAUCAUGCUUUUCUUUCCUAUAGCACAAAUGAAAAUCCCUCUCUAGACGAGCAGAUUUGUCAGAUGAAACCUUUUCCUUCUUAUCCACUGCUACGGUAAACUAAAGAGUAGAUUUUCAAAUUACACUGCUAAAUAUGACUAGCAUUAGCUACGUGUAGUAGUGCAAAAUAAUCCAUCAACUGUAUUAGCAGGUGUAGCCUAUACACGAGUCCACUGCUGGUCAUAUCACUAUUGAGAACAUGCCCCAAAUUCACUGCUUUAGUAGAAUUUAAUUGUAAGUGAAAUGAUGCUCACACUGUAAUGUCCUUUGUAUUUGUUCAGUCUACAGGUCCUCUAACACUCUGUUAAAUGAAUAAAUGUAAAUGUACUACAACGUAGAUUUUGUUUUAAAUCAAUUAAUGCAGAAAUUACACACAAUAUUAUCAACAUUAUUAUGUCAACACAACUCAUCAAAAUAAUGUGUACAACUUUAAAUAUUUAAUGAAUUCAAUAAAUUAGAAUUUUUAUCUUGCAACCACACAUUAAAUUUAGAUUGUGGGGGUUUGCUUUGUAUAGCGCCGCUGUUAGAAAAUACAUGAUGGUUGAACGUGAACAUAAAUGAGCAGAAUGUAAGCUUGUGAAAUAAAUGAAACUUUAUUGAUUGCAGUUUUGAGAAAAUGGCAUGACUUUGAAUAAAAAUUUACUGAAAUAAAUACUCUAAAACAUUGAUAUACCCGAAGAAAUGUAAAAAAGAAAAAAAAAAAAAAGAAAAGUUUUUACAUACCUUCUAAA